GACGAACGCUGGCGGCGUGCCUAAUACAUGCAAGUAGAACGCUGAAGAGAGGAGCUUGCUCUUCUUGGAUGAGUUGCGAACGGGUGAGUAACGCGUAGGUAACCUGCCUGGUAGCGGGGGAUAACUAUUGGAAACGAUAGCUAAUACCGCAUGAAAUUGCUUAUCGCAUGAUAAUUAAUUGAAAGAUGCAAUCGCAUCACUACCAGAUGGACCUGCGUUGUAUUAGCUAGUUGGUGAGGUAACGGCUCACCAGGCGACGAUACAUAGCCGACCUGAGAGGGUGAUCGGCCACACUGGGACUGAGACACGGCCCAGACUCCUACGGGAGGCAGCAGUAGGGAAUCUUCGGCAAUGGGGGGAACCCUGACCGAGCAACGCCGCGUGAGUGAAGAAGGUUUUCGGAUCGUAAAGCUCUGUUGUAAGAGAAGAACGGGUGUGAGAGUGGAAAGUUCACACUGUGACGGUAUCUUACCAGAAAGG
Molecule: ribosomal RNA, 480 nt
Filed under: Streptococcus sanguinis
Lineage: Bacteria; Bacillati; Bacillota; Bacilli; Lactobacillales; Streptococcaceae
Description: bacterial SSU rRNA
Rfam family: Bacterial small subunit ribosomal RNA
Source: RNAcentral